AAGGUUUGCAAUUGAAAGAGAAGAGUUAGCAGAGAUGCUGCAGACAAACCUUCCUGUCCAUUACAUUGCAAAAAUGAUUGGUGUUUCCACAAGAACCAUCUUUAGAAGGAUGAACGAGUUUGGCCUUUCGAUCUCAGGGAUGUAUAGCUGCAUCACUGAUGAGGAGUUGGAUAACCUUGUGAGAAGCAUUAAGGAUGAUAUGCCUGUUGCUGGUUACAGAAUGGUCAGAGGAAGGUUGUUGUCUUUAGGAAUGCGUGUUCAAUGGCAGAGAAUAGCUGCCUCAAUGCACCGUGUUGAUUCAGUUGGAAUCCUUUCGAGAUUGGCCAGGUUGGGAUGUGUGGUGCGGCGAACGUACUCAGUUAGAGGGCCCCUUUCCCUUGUGCACAUAGACACAAAUCGAUACGAUACAACAUUGUAAUAUUUGGUGGUGUGGAUGGUUAUUCCAGGAAGGUCAUGUACUUAAAAGCAGCAACUAACAACCGGGCAUCGACAGCAUACCACUUCUUCUCAGAAGCAGUCCAGACAUUUGGCUUACCAUCUAGGUGAGUAUAGUAAAGAAAAGGCAUUUGAAUUUUAUGUCUGGAAAUGUAUUGUACUAUAACAAAAUAAAUCAGGGUCAGGGGAGACCAAGGAGUGGAGAAUGUACAGAUAGCCAGGUUCAUGUUUUCUUCAAGAGGCACGGACCGAGGAAGUUUCAUAUCCGGGAAAAGUGUCCAUAAUCAAAGGAUUGAGCGCCUCUGGCGUGAUGUUAGAACCAUGGUGACUAACAAGUACUCGGACACACUGCACUCCCUAGAGGCAGAAGGAUUGCUGGACUUAUCAGUGGUCGAGGACCUUUUCAGUGUGCACUACACUUAACUCCAAAGACUUCAGGCAGACUUGGACACAUUUUCCGAAGCCUGGAAUCAUCAUCCACUCUCCUCAGAGGGCAAUCGAAGUCCAGAGCAACUGUGGCAGAUUGGAAUGAUGC
Carassius auratus (goldfish) is the source of this 970-nucleotide long non-coding RNA. RefSeq lists it as uncharacterized. The transcript is spliced from 4 exons. Lineage: Eukaryota; Metazoa; Chordata; Actinopteri; Cypriniformes; Cyprinidae. The record is from RefSeq and is a predicted model, not a curated record.